AUCUUAAAGCAUCAAAACAUAGCAAGAACUCAUCCGAUAAACUUGGAGAGUACUGAUCUAAUCCACUGUCCUCACAAGUGUCAAGACUGUUGGAUUCGCACCGGCUGAGGCACAGAAAACAUCUGAAGAAAAUGAAGGCCGUCAUGAUUUUCGGGCUCCUCUUCGCUGUAGUCUACUGCCGUCCUGUAAAACGCUCAGCAAGCAGCUCAGAGAGCUCUGAGGAACAGGCAGUUGCCAAACUGCCACUCCCAGUUCUUGAUAAAGGCCCUGCAGAUCCACUAAAGGCAGCACCUGCACAGGUAAAAGCCUUGUUUUACUCUCCCAGAGCUAUUUUUCUACAGUUUAACAGCUCAAGUGAGGCAUGAUAAUUGCUGCUCUUCGCUUAUGCUCCAGUGGGCGUUUCUCUUUGCUGUUUGUGUCAGGACUUGAAAGCAGCCGUAGUAGCAGCAGCAUCUGACGAGGACACUGACGAUUCAGAUGAAACUGAGGUAAAAGGCCACUCAUCCUCCUGACCACAUGAGUCACCACUGCAUUCACUUAUUUCCUAAUAAAAGCAACCCACUUCCAAAAAUAAGGCUCUUUUUGUCUGGACGCACUGUGGGUGUAUGUGUCAGUAACUCUCACUGUCUUUGACUGUUUCCUUCAUUUCCAGGACAAAAACACAGAAUCAGACACAGAGGGAGACAGUGCAGACAGCGCAGACACGCAAGACACGCAAGACACUGUGAGUCAAGCUUUACCACACAUGCUGUUAUAACACUCUCACACACAGAUGUAACUAAGGAU
Long non-coding RNA from Pygocentrus nattereri (red-bellied piranha), 786 nucleotides. NCBI's taxonomy places the organism in Eukaryota, Metazoa, Chordata, Actinopteri, Characiformes, Serrasalmidae. The record is from Ensembl.